CUCUAUAUUAAUUAAUAAACGUCGUAAAGUUAAAUUCCCCAUUAAGAUUUGCGGGGGACAACGUCCUGAACCCAUAGAUCCACCUAGGCUCCUUUUACAAUAAUGUAUUGACAAUCUCUUUUGCCUGACAAGUUGUGAAUGUGGCGUGAGAUUGAUGUGUCAAGGUGGGCCUUUAUUGAAUGUACAUGUUGCAAAAUCCUUCUGCGGAACUGUUGAAUAGUUUUGCCGAUAUAUUGGAUGCCAUAAGAGCAGCUUGCCAGAUAAAUAACAUUAGCAAAAGAACAAUUUAUUAAAGAUUUGAGUUUCAUUGACUUGUUGGCAACAACAUUUUAAACUUCUUUGGUCGGUACAAUAAAGUUGCAGGCCUUGCAAUGGCCGCAACGAUAAACACCGCGAGUGGGUUUUAGCCAGAUUGCAGAUUGAUGUAACAGAGCAGGAUGGCUGUGUACAAACAUGUCACAAAAAUCAGGAGCUCUUCUGGCUGUCAUAGAUGGUAAUGUAACAGGGCCAGACUGGGAAUGAAAAAAAGCCCUGGAAAAUAAACCUAUAUCAGCCCAAUAAUGCGUGAUGCCAGCAUAGUGUGCAGAUAUGGAAGUGGAAGAGAGAACUUGAAAUUUAAAACUAAACAAUAUUACUCCAACGUGAAAGAAAGCACUCAUAUGGCUUCAAAAUAAACAAAAGAGUGAAUUUAUUUUAAGCAUUUGGAUAUGUAUGCAUUUGCAUAUAGUCAAUGUUUCAGUCCAACUACCUCGACAUAUUAAGAACUGUUUGGUAAUGGGACUGAAAUGGUGAAUGUCUGCUAAACUGGUGUAUCUUGUUUAUUUUUAGGUCCUAUGAGUGUGCUCUUCACUUUAGCUGAGAUUAUCAGAGGAAACCAUUGGAAGGCUAUAACGCAUCCUAAAUGAUGGCAGAUCUUCCACCCAGGGACGCAGGCAUACUUUAAUAGGACGCAAAUUUAGUUUUUGUUUCAAUAAAUGUUGUUGAUGUACAAUGUGAGGCAUUUUGUAAUUCUGCCACUGCCCAAGUGCAUAUGUAUUGCAACACCAUUAUUACAAAAUAACAGUUUGAAUUUCUGCUAGAGGACAUGUAUAAUGAGGUCAUAAUGACAGAAUCCUGACAUUGAACUCCUGUAAGUAAAUGUGCACUGUUAGGUCACCAUUACAGACAUAUACCACUGACAUCAUGUAAAUUAAUCUGUUGUGAUGUCCACAUUACAGAAUAACAGCUUUCAGCUUCAUUAAGUGAAAAUCUAUUAUUCAAUCAAAUUUUUUAAAUAUGGCCACUGUGAGUCAAUGCACAAUUAGAUGACUCCUC
Molecule: non-coding RNA, 1314 nt
Organism: Pelobates cultripes (western spadefoot toad)
Lineage: Eukaryota; Metazoa; Chordata; Amphibia; Anura; Pelobatidae
Source: the annotation of a GenBank genome assembly